GUUCCCAUCCUAUCACCGAAGUUAAGCAACGUCGAGCCUUGUCAGUACCUAGAUUGGUGACCACUUGGGAAUACCAGGUGCUGUAAA
Non-coding RNA from Acanthosepion pharaonis, 87 nucleotides. NCBI's taxonomy places the organism in Eukaryota, Metazoa, Mollusca, Cephalopoda, Sepiida, Sepiidae. The record is from the annotation of a GenBank genome assembly.